GAUGAACGCUGGCGGCGUGCCUAAUACAUGCAAGUCGAGCGAACGGACGAGAAGCUUGCUUCUCUGAUGUUAGCGGCGGACGGGUGAGUAACACGUGGAUAACCUACCUAUAAGACUGGGAUAACUUCGGGAAGCCGGAGCUAAUACCGGAUGAUAUUUUGAACCGCAUGGUUCAAAAGUGAAAGACGGUCUUGCUGUCACUUAUAGAUGGAUCCGCGCUGCAUUAGCUAGUUGGUAAGGUAACGGCUUACCAAGGCAACGAUGCAUAGCCGACCUGAGAGGGGGAUAGGCCACACUGGAACUGAGACACGGUCCAGACUCCUACGGGAGGCAGCAGUAGGGAAUCUUCCGCAAUGGGCGAAAGCCUGACGGAGCAACGCCGCGUGAGUGAUGAAGGUCUUCGGAUCGUAAAACUCUGUUAUUAGGGAAGAACAUAUGUGUAAGUAACUGUGCACAUCUUGACGGUACCUAAUCAGAAAGCCACGGCUAACUACGUG
RNAcentral lists this ribosomal RNA (497 nucleotides) under uncultured bacterium. RNAcentral's name for it is "partial 16S ribosomal RNA". It matches the Rfam family "Bacterial small subunit ribosomal RNA", at positions 28 to 507 of the family's 1533-position model. The record is from RNAcentral.